Molecule: long non-coding RNA, 354 nt
Organism: Carassius carassius (crucian carp)
Lineage: Eukaryota; Metazoa; Chordata; Actinopteri; Cypriniformes; Cyprinidae
Exons: 2
Source: RefSeq, a predicted model, not a curated record
CUUUUUCCAGUUCUUUAACUAUUUUUCUAUUAUAUUAGUAUUCUCCUUGAAAUAAUGUCUGUUUUCCCGUUAGACCAUCCUUCUGUCCUAGCGACUCUCUGGGCAGAUGGGGAGCGGCUUACUGAUCUCAUCUGUCCGAACAUUCCCGACGGCUGAGAGGAUCCUGGCUGGUUGUUGUCCUCCCUUUUCUCAAUAAUUUUUUCCAGUUCAUCCUGAUUUAUGUUAGUCAUUAAUAAAUUUAUGGUCAAUUGACCUUCCUGUGACAUAUCUGUAAUUCCCAAUAGUAUGCCUUCUAAUACCGAAUUAACUGGGUGUUCAAAUUGUCCCGUUCCCAUUAAAGUCAUAUGUAUUUAA